GGCGUGCCUAACACAUGCAAGUCGAGCGAUGAAAUUCCUUCGGGAAUGGAUUANCGGCGGACGGGUGAGUAACACGUGGGUAACCUGCCUCAUAGAGGGGAAUAGCCUUCCGAAAGGAAGAUUAAUACCGCAUAAUGUANUACCUUCGCAUGAAGGAACUAUCAAAAGAGCAAUCUGCUAUGAGAUGGACCCGCGGCGCAUUAGCUAGUUGGUGAGGUAACGGCUCACCAAGGCGACGAUGCGUAGCCGACCUGAGAGGGUGAUCGGCCACAUUGGAACUGAGACACGGUCCAGACUCCUACGGGAGGCAGCAGUGGGGAAUAUUGCGCAAUGGGGGAAACCCUGACGCAGCAACGCCGCGUGAAUGAAGAAGGCCUUCGGGUUGUAAAGUUCUGUCUUAUGGGAAGAUAAUGACGGUACCAUAGGAGGAAGCCACGGCUAACUACGUGCCAGCAGCCGCGGUAAUACGUAAGUGGCAAGCGUUGUCCGGAUUUACUGGGCGUAAAGGAU
This 510-nucleotide ribosomal RNA is filed under the name Clostridium sp. EIB 1-1. Its description in RNAcentral is "bacterial SSU rRNA". It matches the Rfam family "Bacterial small subunit ribosomal RNA", at positions 41 to 568 of the family's 1533-position model. The record is from RNAcentral. Lineage: Bacteria; Bacillati; Bacillota; Clostridia; Eubacteriales; Clostridiaceae.